Octopus bimaculoides (California two-spot octopus) is the source of this 2316-nucleotide long non-coding RNA. The record is from RefSeq and is a predicted model, not a curated record. NCBI's taxonomy places the organism in Eukaryota, Metazoa, Mollusca, Cephalopoda, Octopoda, Octopodidae.
UAUAUAUAUAUGUAUAUAUUAAUAUUAUCUUGGUUGAAAAACUUCGAUAAUGCAAAUAUGUUAAUAGUUACCAGGGUAUCAAAAAUCUCACAGAAACUGGGAUAUUAUACCUGGUUAAGGGGUAGAAAUUCCAUAUUAAAGUUAGUUAGUUAGUUAGAUAGAUAGAGAAAGUAACAACGAGUGAAUGAGAAUAACGACGGAAGGGUUAAAAAGAGCGUAAAAAUUAUUGAAAGUGGGUAGAAAUAAAAACUACGUAGUAUAGUAAUACUACGCUAAGGUAUCUGUAGAAUGUUGAAUGUGAUUUCGGAAUAUAACGAGGAAAAAUUCAGAUCUUGGGAAUUUUCCGAAAGUCCUCUCCCCACCUCAAGAUUUUCCCCACAAAUUAUUUUAUAAUCGUAAUGUAUGCCGUUUGAAAAGUAUUUAAACAAAAUUUCAACCCCCCCCCAAAAAAAAAACACAUUUUCCUAACAGUUACAAAGGAAAAACUCGGGUCUUGUGAAUUUUCCGAAGUCCUCUCCUCACCCCUUUGGAAAAGAUUUUACUCACAAACUUCUUUAUAAUCGUAAUGUAUGCUAACCAAAUUAAAUAUCACAAGGGGGCAUCAGGAUUUUAGAAACGAUUCAGUGGGGCAUGGCAAAAAAUCGGUUGGGAAUCACUGCAGUAAAGGAUGUCUCCGUGGUUACUUAACCUGCUAAAAGUUGAAAAUAAAUCUCCUUGAAAUUAAAAUGUGAAUUAUAGUAAUGAGGGAUAUUAUUUUAUACAAAACCACAUUAAAAUCCAAAUCCCAAACCGAACAAAACACAAACAUGAACGAAGAAAGAAAAAGGAAAGGAAAAAGAAGUGGAAGAAAGAAAAAGAAAGAAAAUAAACAACAAUUUGAUAUCAAGUAUCUCAAAUGGUCGCACACCACAAGGUUUAACGGAGCCUACUGAAGCAAGGCAGCACACUCGUUAUAUUACCACGGGCGAUGGCAAGGCUAAGGCUAAGGCGUUAGAACAGCCAUGCACCCUCACGUUCUUCACCUGAGCCGUCAACAAUGACAAAAACUUCACUGUUCGUGAUUCAGCCCCUCCAAACAUCUCAAACGCCACAGGCUGGAAAAUGUGGUUCACUGCCAAGUCCCAAUACUUAAGAAAAUUAUUCCGUUCGGCUACAGAAGCAGUGACCCUUCCAUUUAUCGCGGCGUCCAGAAUGUGAGGAGCAAAGGAAUAACAGACUGUGACAUCCCAGAUGAAGCACCUACCUCUUCUCUUGCCCAGGGAUAAAAGGUGACAUGAAAUGAUGAAGAGAAUGAAUAUAUAUAUAUGUGAAAUAUGUUUAAUAACGAAAACUUUUCUUUACAUAGUGUCAAAAACAAUACAAAAACUUUCCAAGAAUAAAGACUGACAGAUUUGAAAAUGUAAUUUGGCAACAGAUAAAAAAUGAUUUAUUUAAAUAAAAAAUGAUUAUUUAAAUAAAAAAUGAUUUAUUUAAAUAAAUCAUUUAAAAAAUGAUGUAUUUAUUUAUAUAUUCAAAAACACAAAAGUCCACUAUUUCUGAUAUAGGCAAGUACUCGCUAGUGUAUGGCGCAGUAACAUCCGGAAAUGAAAAAAAUAUUGUUUUGUAGAAAGAAAAAAAAUAUUAUACUUUAUCUAAAAUUAAAAAAAAAAUAAGUAAUAAAAAUCUUAAUUCAAGUAUUCAUAAUUCUAAAGCAUUUUAUUUGUUAUAUUUUUGAUGCCAGUAAAUUACAAUCCCGGAUUUGGGUUGUAUUAUGGGCUACAAUUUCGCCAUGAUGUAAAGGAAUAAUAAUCCAUUCGACGUAAUAACAACGGUUAUGGGAUUGAGAUUAACAUGAGAACCAGAGAAGGAGACGAGGAAAAAAUGGUGAAAAUGUGAUAUUAGCUUUUCAUAAUUUGUUAAUAUUAUUGCCGAAUUUGAAGUUAUGUCACGGAAACGUGUCUAUGUGUUAGUCGGAACACCGAAUUGUAAACAUGGCUGUGAUCCAAGUAAUUGGCUUCAAAUGAACUGUUGCUUGCAACCGGUUUAUUCUUAAUACCCCAAAUCUGUUCUUACGACAGUUUUUUUUUCUUUUUAAACAGUAAUGAAUAUAUGUUAUUCACCGCACAUCGACAAUCUAUUUACUUUAUUUUCUGUACCCCGACACCUAUCACAGUCUUUCCUAACAUCGUUCUCCCCAGCAGGCUUCACUUACAAAACAGCCACCCUAGUAUAGUGCAUUAUUCUCUUAGAAAAAAUAAUAAAUAAAAUGAAAUAAAAUAGACAGUUACUGCAACUGUGUGUAUAUGUCGAAGGACUGUUACAAAUUUCGAUAAUGUC